UUUUUUUUCAUCCAAAAUUAAUUAGAGUUCAAAAGAGCCAAAUUAAUGCUUAAAUUCCUGAGGAAUGUUGUUUACAUAAGUGAUAUGAUGCGGUUGGACACGAACUUUACGCGCCAAAUUAUCCGCUUUGACAUUUGCACUACGAGAAAUUAAAGAUAAAAAAAAACUUGAAAAUUCUUCCUUGUCACUCUGCAAUUCCUCCAAAUACACUGAGAAGGCCGGCCAUUCGGUUUGGGAAGACACCAUCUUCACCAGAUCCGAACAGUCUGUGAGAAACACAACAUCUUGAUUGUCGGCGCCAAUCAUGCACUUCAUCGCCCAUAGAAGAGCUUCCACUUCGGCAUGUAGUGGGGAUAGACUUCGUCUAAGGUUUGCUGCUCCCAUUGUUGACGUCUCUCCAAAUUCCUAAUAAUAAUGAUUUUAAAAGACUUUUAAUAUUCAUUUUUGUCACUU
RNAcentral lists this small RNA (453 nucleotides) under Arabidopsis thaliana (thale cress). Its description in RNAcentral is "ATSL029650". The record is from RNAcentral. Lineage: Eukaryota; Viridiplantae; Streptophyta; Magnoliopsida; Brassicales; Brassicaceae.